CCUAGUAACUGCGAGUGAAGCGGGAAAAGCUCAAAUUUAAAAUCUGGUAGUCCUUGCGGCUGCCCGAGUUGUAAUCUAGAGAAGCGUUAUCCGCGCUGGACCGUGUACAAGUCUCCUGGAACGGAGCGUCAUAGAGGGUGAGAAUCCCGUCUUUGACACGGACUACCAGGGCUUUUGUGAUGCGCUCUCAAAGAGUCGAGUUGUUUGGGAAUGCAGCUCUAAAUGGGUGGUAAAUUCCAUCUAAAGCUAAAUAUUGGCGAGAGACCGAUAGCGAACAAGUACCGUGAGGGAAAGAUGAAAAGAACUUUGGAAAGAGAGUUAAACAGUACGUGAAAUUGUUGAAAGGGAAACGCUUGAAGUCAGUCGCGUUGGCCGGGGAUCAACCUUGCUUUUUUGCUUGGCGUACUUUCCGGUUAAUGGGUCAGCAUCAAUUUUGACCGGUGGAUAAAGGUUAGGGGAAUGUGGCAUCCUCGGAUGUGUUAUAGCCCUUGGUCGCAUACAUCGGUUGGGAUUGAGGAACUCAGCACGCCGCAAGGCCGGGUUUUUAACCACGUACGUGCUUAGGAUGCUGGCAUAAUGGCUUUAAUCGACCCGUCUUGAAACACGGACCAAGGAGUCUAACAUGCCUGCGAGUGUUUGGGUGGAAAACCCGAGCGCGUAAUGAAAGUGAAAGUUGAGAUCCCUGUCGCGGGGAGCAUCGACGCCCGGACCAGACCUUUUGUGACGGUCCCGCGGUAGAGCAUGUAUGUUGGGACCCGAAAGAUGGUGAACUAUGCCUGAAUAGGGUGAAGCCAGAGGAAACUCUGGUGGAGGCUCGUAGCGAUUCUGACGUGCAAAUCGAUCGUCGAAUUUGGGUAUAGGGG
This 863-nucleotide ribosomal RNA is filed under the name Atractosporocybe sp. 'inornata var. ianthinophylla'. Its description in RNAcentral is "eukaryotic LSU rRNA". It matches the Rfam family "Eukaryotic large subunit ribosomal RNA", at positions 79 to 923 of the family's 3401-position model. Lineage: Eukaryota; Fungi; Basidiomycota; Agaricomycetes; Agaricales; Lyophyllaceae. The record is from RNAcentral.